This 529-nucleotide ribosomal RNA is filed under the name uncultured bacterium. Its description in RNAcentral is "bacterial SSU rRNA". It matches the Rfam family "Bacterial small subunit ribosomal RNA", at positions 980 to 1509 of the family's 1533-position model. The record is from RNAcentral.
CUUGACAUCCAGCGAACUUGGCAGAGAUGCCUUGGUGCCUUCGGGAACGCUGAGACAGGUGCUGCAUGGCUGUCGUCAGCUCGUGUUGUGAAAUGUUGGGUUAACGUCCGCAACGAGCGCAACCCUUAUCCUUUGUUGCCAGCGAUUCGGUCGGGAACUCAAAGGAGACUGCCGGUGAUAAACCGGAGGAAGGUGGGGAUGACGUCAAGUCAUCAUGGCCCUUACGAGUAGGGCUACACACGUGCUACAAUGGCGCAUACAAGAGAAGCGACCUCGCGAGAGCAAGCGGACCUCAUAAAGUGCGUCGUAGUCCGGAUCGGAGUCUGCAACUCGACUCCGUGAAGUCGGAAUCGCUAGUAAUCGUGGAUCAGAAUGCCACGGUGAAUACGGUUCCCGGGCCUUGUACACACCGCCCGUCACACCAUGGGAGUGGGUUGCAAAAGAAGUAGGUAGCUUAACCCUCGGGAGGGCGCUUACCACUUUGUGAUUCAUGACUGGGGUGAAGUCGUAACAAGGUAGGCGUACGUGU